GACGUAGGGAGCGAGCGUUGUCCGGAUUCAUUGGGCGUAAAGCGCGCGCAGGCGGCCAGGCAAGUCGGGUGUGAAAAUCCGAGGCUCAACCUCGGACCUGCACCCGAAACUGCUUGGCUAGAGGUAGGUAGGGGAGAUCGGAAUUCCUGGUGUAGCGGUGAAAUGCGCAGAUAUCAGGAGGAACACCGGUGGUGUAGACGGCUUUCUGGACCGUAACUGACGCUGAGACACGAAAGCGUGGGUAGCAAACAGG
This 253-nucleotide ribosomal RNA is filed under the name uncultured bacterium. Its description in RNAcentral is "partial 16S ribosomal RNA". It matches the Rfam family "Bacterial small subunit ribosomal RNA", at positions 524 to 776 of the family's 1533-position model. The record is from RNAcentral.